UGUGAUAUUGGUGUAAGGAUUAAACAAUGAUAAAACAGAUGUCAAGGUUAAAGGAUUCAGUAAUGGUUCCGACUUCUCCGUUGUUGGUAAUAUUUGAACUUGAAAACGGCAGAAUUGAGUCUUGGACUCUUCAUGAAAGUUUUAGGUCUAUGUCUUAGCUUUCCAUC
Non-coding RNA from Populus trichocarpa (black cottonwood), 167 nucleotides. The record is from Rfam. NCBI's taxonomy places the organism in Eukaryota, Viridiplantae, Streptophyta, Magnoliopsida, Malpighiales, Salicaceae.